AGCGAACGCUGGCGGCAGGCCUAACACAUGCAAGUCGAACGCCCCGCAAGGGGAGUGGCAGACGGGUGAGUAACACGUGGGAACGUACCCUUUGGUUCGGAAUAACUUGGGGAACUCAAGCUAAUACCGGAGAAGCCCCUAUGCGGGAAGGUUUACUGCCGAAGGAUCGGCCCGCGUCUGAUUAGCUAGUUGGUGAGGUAAUGGCUCACCAAGGCGACGAUCAGUAGCUGGUCUGAGAGGAUGAUCAGCCACACAGGGACUGAGACGCGGCCCAGACUCCUACGGGAGGCAGCAGUGGGGAAUAUUGGACAAUGGGGGCAACCCUGAUCCAGCCAGGCCGCGUGAGUGAUGAAGGCCUUAGGGUUGUAAAGCUCUUUUACCCGGGACGAUAAUGACUGUACCGGGAGAAUAAGCCCCGGCUAACUUCGUGCCAGCCGCCGCCGUAA
Molecule: ribosomal RNA, 446 nt
Filed under: uncultured bacterium
Lineage: Bacteria
Description: partial 16S ribosomal RNA
Rfam family: Bacterial small subunit ribosomal RNA
Source: RNAcentral